AAACGCGUUAUUUAAAAAUGUCUACAUUUCCCGCACAAAGUACAUCAUCUUAAUUAUAUAGAUAAUUCGUAUAUUGUUCUAAUAAAAUUAUAAAAUUAUAGUAAUAGUAAUUGUAAAUAUAUAUAUUUUCAUAAUCUAUGGUAAAUAAAAAUUCCGUUAUUUAUUGCUUAAUCUAAAAUAGAAAUCAAGAAUAGAAGAUAGAACGUUAUCAAGUGACAUCAAUUUUCAUGUGCUCUUGUUGUAUAGAAAAACAGAAUGUCAUUUCCAAAUAAAGAAGACCGGUUUGUUUGUUGGAAUCAUAGAGAUGAGUAUUGGAAAUGUUUAGAUGAAUCAAAAUCAGAAACUGAUUGCAAUGAAUUUAGAAAAAAAUAUGAACAAUUUUGUCCUUCUCAAUGGGUGAAACAUUUUGAUCGUAAAAGGGAAUAUAUAAAGUUUAAAGAACGUUUGGAGCUAGAAGGAUAUGUUCCAGAAGAAAAAAAUCGGACAUCUCUUUAAUAGAACAAUUAUAAUUUAUACAAAAAAAAUGUAUCUAUGUGUAAUAAGUUUAUUAUUUAUUUGUUACCAUUUUCAUAGCUCAUAAAGAUAAUAAAUAGAUACUUA
Polistes canadensis is the source of this 600-nucleotide RNA transcript. It is a transcript of the gene named cytochrome c oxidase assembly factor 6 homolog, with no coding region annotated. NCBI's taxonomy places the organism in Eukaryota, Metazoa, Arthropoda, Insecta, Hymenoptera, Vespidae. The transcript has 3 exons. The record is from RefSeq and is a predicted model, not a curated record.